This is a long non-coding RNA of Oncorhynchus masou masou (cherry salmon), 684 nucleotides long. RefSeq lists it as uncharacterized. The record is from RefSeq and is a predicted model, not a curated record. The transcript is spliced from 3 exons. Lineage: Eukaryota; Metazoa; Chordata; Actinopteri; Salmoniformes; Salmonidae.
CAGGAAAGGCAUCUCAUGGACCAACUGAUGCAUUGUGAGGUUAUUAACAAUUGUGCAAAGUAGAGUGAUUAUACAGCUCCUCAGUUUCAGUGUUGACAUUUAGAAAUGGUAUAUUUCUCAUCACUGACAGUACGUGAGCAGCUGAACAAAAGUGAGCAGGAAAAGGAUAACCAAAGAAAGGCCUUUGAGGCAGAAAUGGCAGAACUCCAGGCCAGGUUUGAGGAGGAGAUACAGGUACUAGCUGGUGAGCUGACAGAGAAGGAUGUAACCAUCAGUUUGUUGAGAAGAGCUUAUCACCAGACACAAGAGCAACUGGAUAUUGUGACCUGUCGUAUAUCAGACUUCGGGAAAAACCCAAGCCAGCUUGGACCAAGACGCAUGUCAUGCAUCACGCAAGAACCAACAGAGCCAUAGUGCAACUCAUGACCACACCAAUACAUGUUUGACCAUAUUUUUUAUUCUUCUGUCAUAGAAUGUGUCUUAAAUGUGUUGUAUGACAUGUGGUGUCAAGGAGUACACUGUGAUGUAUUGAAACAGCAGCAACAACAAAAUUAUCUAUAUUGAUUGAACAUAUUAUUUUGUAUUCAUUUAGGAAGUCAAUGUGCAAGGGAGUAAGAAAUUGACCAUUUAGAAAAACACACGUGGAAAACGUUGCAUAUUAAAACUCUUCGGUUGUUCUUGCUU